CGCUGCGGGCCCCGCCCAGCCCAGAGCCGGGCUCGAGUGCAGGGCCUGGCCGACUCCAGCUGUUCCGGAUACGGGGCGGGGGCCCGGCGGGGGCCGGCCGCGGCUGGGGCUUCCCUCUCAGGAACUCGCCUGGAGGCCCCGGUUCCAGGAUCAGGCUGGGGGCUGGGACCCUCCGGCCUGAAAUCUGUGAGCACCAGGCGAGCAUUUUGUGCGCAUCGCUAUUUGAAGGUGUUCGCUUUUUAAUACGUGUCUUGGCGUGUGGUUCUCCUUGUGUGUUCGUGUAAACGUAUGUGAACUUGUGGGUAUAUUGGAUGGGUUUGAACUCCAGCUCUGCCUUUCGUUUCCUCUAAGACACCCCAGAGGGGCUGUGGCCUCGGGCCCUCUUCUCUCCUGCUCCGGGGUCUGCUUUAUGUGGGGCCCUAAUUUUCCAUUUUUGUCCUUGGAGAGAGGAGGGGAGGAAGAAGGGGUUGGAGCCAAGCGAAGAAGAGCUGUUUCUCUCCACACACACACAGACCUGGCCCUGGCUUUGUCUGGUAAACUCCUGGUGGGCAUCGCGGUGGGGCCAUUUAGCUUGAGCCAGAAAGGCCAGCCUGUGGACUCGUGGGCCCAGGAGUGGGUAGGAGGGAAGGAUAGGAAUUCUUGCCCCCAUUGCUGUCCCAGAGAGGGAGCAAGCUAAGUGGGGCUGUGGGGCAGGGAGCGAAUGGGUUCUCUGUCGGGCGCGUCAGAGAUAGGCUUCUUUAUCUUCCGUUUAGUUACGCGUUUGGGAUUGUGGCCGGAAGCUCUCCGGUUAAAAGGGAAAGCGUAGGGAGAAAAGAGUCUCACUUUGGGCCCCAGGGCGGACCCCAAGCCUCCCGGGAAGUGUUGGGAAGAGCUCUCUACCCCCAAGCCCAUCUCUGUCCUGCCUGUGGGGGGUGGAGGACAAUGGCAGGUGCUGUGCUCUGAGGCAGGAGUCCUAAGAAAGAGGAUCUCAGUUCCCCCAGAGAAGCCGGCCCCUCUGCCGGGCAGGCCUGUCUCUGUUGCAUCCCUGCUAUCCUGAGAGCCAUAGGUGAUGCUGGGCCUAGCAACGGUGCAACUGGAGCCUAGGGUCCCAUGGAGAGGGCGCCAGGCUUGGGGCCAACAGGGGUCUGCCUGCUCCCCUGACUUCCUGCUGUCUGGAUCCCACUGCAGCCCUUUCCUGCCAUAACCCCCCCCCCAAAGCCUCUGACAAGCCACACCCCUUGGGCUAGAUGAAGGCUUCUCCAAGUCUGGUAACUGGGACCCUCCAGUCCCUUUCCUUAGGGGAAAGAGGAGCCAGGCACUUUCUAUCAUUACCCACCCCCUAUCCCAGACUCCCCUCCCCCCACAAGCGCUCCUGUCCCAUUCUCUGCACCUGGUACUGGUCCACAAGACAGGACCUGGGAGAAGCCAAGCUCCUGUUGCCCAUUCCCAGUCCCUCCCGCGCAGUGGAGUUCAGGGCCACUGGGAGGCUGUCGGGAAGGGGAGGAAUGUAAAUCGGCGAGCAGAGCAGAGGGACUCUGCUUCCUGAGACCUUUCGUUUCCAGCCACACACUGUAAAGUGGCGAUUCGGCGAUUCCGUGGUCAUCUGCUCCAUCGCCUCCACCCACCUUUGCCAAAUCUUCUCUUUCCUUGCCAAGCCUGUACCACAGCUUUGAUUUUUUUUUUUUUUGGCCUGAUUGGUUAACCUAUGCUUGGGUACACUGCGUGGCUGGAGGUGCACAGGGUACACAGUGGUACCACCUGAUAUUUUGCUGUUUAGUCUCUCUUGCCUGGAACACCUUAUCCAGGCUGCCUUCAAAAAUCAGCCCAACUCUCCCCACCAACCUGUGUGAGAGAAACCUGUGUGAGAGAAACUCGGAUCUUCUAGACCCUUAGGAUCCCAAAUCCGUGGGCUUUCCCCACUCCUUCUGCAGAGUAACCAGGUACAAUUUGGGGUCAUCAAAUGACUCCUUCCCUCCAUAUUUUGAGAUCUUUAAGGGCAGGAGCCUGGACCUGGGGAUUCCAUCCACCUGGGACUUGCACAGGCCUGGGGGACACAGGGUGGAGGAAUAGUUUUUGGAUGAGUCUCCAUUGAGGAAGUGGGGUGCAAGUGAUUACAGAAUGACUUGGGUCUGGACUGUUCCCCCUGGAGGGGCCUGGAGAUUAUGGAGCGCCAAAGGGGGAGGGACUGGGGCAGUGGGAGGAGGUUGAUUGAAAAGCUACCAGUUGAAGGCUGGCAUCUUUCUGCCCAACCCAUUCCUGGGGCCCAAGCUGGAGUGAGGAAGGCUCUCUGUCUCCCCCCACCCCAUCCCCACUCCCUAUCAGCUGGGCCAGCGUCUUUGCACCUGGAGCUGGAAGCAGCUGCUCUCUGGAGUCCGUUCUCAGAGGCGAUGCCCAGCCCACUUGUAUACGGGCUCCUGAAUGCCUCUUAGCUGCCUGUGUGGCCAGGGUCCUGCCUUAUUCCAGGGAAUAAGGGAAGGGCUUGUUCUGCCAAAAAUCUGCUUGCCCUCCAGUUUAGAGAAUAUUCCAGACAAAGAGGGAAAGAGUGUUGCAUGAAUUAACACAAUAAAGGGACCCCGCAGACCCAAACACAACGAGUUCUUCCUAAGCACAGGGGAGUAAUUCACGUAAACCUCCCACCGCUUUCCAGAGUCGAUCCCGAUUCUUUUGGUAGCGCCAACUGUUUCCAGGUUUUUUGGGCAAGCACCACCCUUGACCUUCAGGCUCCUUUACAGAAAUUUUUUUUUUUUUUUUGGUCCCAUGGAAACCUGCUGCCCUGAUGACCCAUGUAAAAUUUGGAGAGGGUUUCUUCCACUAUAGAAGUGAGCCAGGGUAGCCAGCCUCCUGCCACCCUGGCUGAGCCGCACUGCUCGCUCUGGGCCACCAUCUGUAGUGACAACACAUCCAUGACAGUAAACACCGUAGCCCUCACCUCACCUGGCUCCAGGCUCAGUUCUACUUCUUUCAUUUACUAUUCAUAAUUCCUUAAGGUAGCUACUACUCCUGUUUUACAUAUAAGGAAAAGAAGGCCCAAACAAGUUAAGUAACCCUUCCAAAGUCACACUGCCUCUCUUGGAGAAAUCAGGAUUGGAGCACUUUUUUCUGACCCAAGUCUGUGCCCUUAAUACUUGAACCAUGAAGCUCUUAACCAGAUGUCCCUAGGGGCACUCUGAAUGGCUGAACUCAGCCUGGGCCUCAAAGAGGGGGUGCAAGAGCUGGGUGGGUGCAUUGUUCCUGCCAGCGGCUUGCAGAUGUGAGGCACGUCUGUUGUGCACACCUCCAACAUGCACAGGAGGCAGACUCAUUCUUUAAUGCAUCUUAGCUAUGCUGAGGACACCUGGGUCCUGGACUUAGCUGUGUGGCCGGACUCAGGAAUGGUCUCUGUUCAUUCUGGUUUUUAUGGAAAACAACACUGAGUCCCCAUCGUACCCAGAAGCAGAGGAAGAUGGAACAGAAGAUGAGAUGGAGGCGUGAUGGCGGCCAGGGGGUGGCAGAAAACACACUUAGCCUGCCCCCUCCAGUGGCCUUGGUGUCAAUGAAGGACUUAGAGGAACCCGUAUGGGGGGUCAGGGUGCCGGUCAGCUCUGCAGACCCCAGAAACUGCAUGUGAAGCCGUGUAUUGUGAGACCAGGUGGGCACAUUUUUGGGGGCCACUAUUUACAAAGCACAUUGGAUCCUCAAGGAGGUUAGAGAUCCAGAAAAAGAGCAGAGUCAGGGAGAAGGGGGGACACCAUGGGGAGGGGAGUUACCCUUUCUCAGGUGCCCCACAAUUCAAGCUGCCCUCCCUCCAACCUGCCCCUCUGCCUGACCCACUUUCUCUGGCUGGGGCCGAUCUCAGGAUCUCAGCUGGUGGGCAGGGUGUGAGGCUAGGACAUUUCUCUGGGAAGCCAUCUGCCCCUCCCCAUCCCAACCCCCUACCACACACACUUCUUUUGUGAGCUGAAUUCCUUCAGAGCUCAGUGACAAGGUGGUCCACAACCAGGGCCACGUGGAGGCAGGGGGUUCACUCUGCUUGGGAAGUGUGUGUGGUCAGGGCAGAGAGAGAGGAGGGAGAAGGGCCCAGAUCCAGGUACCCAGCCUGAAGGACAGCCCUGUCUGAAGGAAGGUUUUUCCCCCUCUCGUUCUGGGACUUGAAUGGCUGCUCCCCUUUCCUUCUUGGCACUAUGCUUUGUCUUUAGUGCUCAACUCAUCUCCUUGGGGAAACCUUCCUUGCCCUGUUCAACUGUGUCCUCAGCACACCCCCUUUGGGGUCACUGUCACAAUGCCAGAAACAUGUUGGUUCCUCUGUCUGCCCUUCUGCUAUUCUCUCCAUCUGGCUGUGAACUUGGGGAGGAAGGGAGUGGAAUCUCCUGUCCAUCUCCUACGCCAGCCUGGCAUACACCGGAAGGGCUCCCUCAGCAUUUGUUGAAUGAACAAACUAAAUGAAUAAACCAGAGACAAAGAGAGAGCCAGGCGGUGAACUCAGCCUGGGCCUCAAAGAAGAGGUGCAAGAGCUGGGUGGGUGCAUUGUUCCUGCCAGCGGCAUGCAGAUGUGAGGCAUGUCUGUUGCGCACACCUCCAACAUGCACAGGAGGCAGACUCAUUCUUUAAUGCAUCUUAGCUACGCUGAGGACACCUGGGUCCUGCCUGGACUUAGCUGUGGCUGUGUGGCCAGACUCAGGAAUGGUCUCUGUUCAUUCCGGUUUUUAUGGAAAACAACACUGAGUCCCCAUCGUACCCAGAAGCAGAGGAAGAUGGAACAGAAGAUGAGAUGGAGGCGUGAUGGCGGCCAGGGGGUGGCAGAAAACACACUUAGCCUGCCCCCUCCAGUGGCCUUGGUGUCAAUGAAGGACUUAGAGGAACCUGUAUGGGGGGUCGGGGUGCCGGGUAAGGUUCUGGUUCUGUUCUUAAGGUGGCCUUUGAGUUGGAACUUGAAAGAUCAGAUGCAUUUGGACAGGUGCAGAAGCAGGGGGCACUUUGGAGGCAAGGGCACCAGCCACACCAGAAGCCCGAGGUUUGGGCUGGGAUAGGGAGCCCCAGGGCCCCCCUAGUGGUGCCCUUCCUCACCUGGCCGCUGGUUGCUGGGGCGAGGAUGAACCCGUGGCUGUGCUGCAGCAGAGCUGCAGCCUGGAGGCCCCAGAUGGCUGUUCAGAGCUGGGGGUCGGCUGCAUCCAGGCCACGGUAGCUCCGGUGCCAACGGUAGGGAUUCCGCUCCUUGCCGAAGCUAGAAGCUCCACGAGUUGCCCUUCUCCCUCCCUAACCCACUGGGCCCAGAAGCUCCGCGGCCCAGGAAAGCCACCCCGUGGUAGUCAGCGCCCUCUAGUCCACUGUGGUCCACCCCGAGGGCCUGGAUCGAGAGUAGGAGGCUGAGGAGCGGGCCGGGCAGCGAGGCGGGCACGGCAAAGGCCUGAGUCAGGCUUCUCGUAAUAAACUGCACGUGAAUAAUUCAGCAGCCGCGCGGGGGCUCAUCGCAUUAGCGCAGUCGCCGCCCGUGCAGCCCCCACCCCCACGCUGGCCUUGCCGAAGGGAGAGAGGCGGUGGCGGGGUGGGGGGUGGGGGGAGAUUCCCGGGCCUGUUCGCGUCCCGGGAGCCACUCCCGUCACAGGGCCGCCUGCUGGGCGGUGCAGUCCAGGACGGGCCUCUCCGGUGUUCCAGGCGCGGGGCCAGAGUGGGCAGGAGGCCAGAGUAGGGGCUUCGGGUGUCCGACCCGCGGCCCAGCGCCCAUCCACACCGCGACGUGGCGCCAAGCAAAGGAAGACUGGCUCGGUCACGUGCUCACAGCCCAGAUCCCCUGGGGGCUGCUUCGGCCGUCCGGGCUGGGGUUCUCCUCAUCAUAGAAGCGAGGUGCCCUUCCCUGGUUCAGGACCCUAAGGGUCCCAGCCGGAGCAUUCGCGGAUCCAAUUCCUGCUGUGCCAGGCUCUUCCACCCGUGUGGGCCCCGCAAUGCUCUCCCCGGCGCGGUUAGGGAACCCUAGGCUGCCGGGCCUGGGAGAGAUGCCAAGGGCGUAGCGCCCGAAUUUCGUUUGCGCGGAACAGCUCCCUUUGGCUUUUCCCGGUUCCCACAAGUCCCCGAGUUGCGGAUUUUGAGGAGUCCCUCGCCAACCCACACCCACCAAUGCUCAAUUCUUUCAGGGCCUCCCCACGCACUUUCACGUCCAUCAGGUCGCCCCGCCCUCUCCCGUCCCACGAGGCCUCCCCCUACACCCCCCGCCACGUGGUCAAGCUGGGCCCUCGCCCCUCGCACUGGCUCCGGACUCUGCGGGCCCCAGCAGCCCCUCCAUCCCCGAGCCCCGUUUUCUUCCUUCCGCGGCUGCCUCCUCCUCUUCCUCUUCGCAGGGCCUCCACGUAUUUCUCGUGCGUUUGGGGAGGGGCGGGCCGCCACAGCCUCGGUGGCCGAAGAGGCCGCCACGACCACCCCUCAUCCCCGCGAACUACAGCGCCGCCGCCCGCGUGCUCGCGAGCGAGCCCACGGGCCAAGGGCACGAGGGCAGGGGGAGCCGUGGGACGCAGCCCUCCCGUUCGUUUGGCAAACGGGGCUGCCUGCGUCGGGGCCCAACGAGGAAGGGAGCCCCUGGGGGUGCCACGCACCGGAAGCCUCUCUGACCCUCACCGUGUCUCCGUUUUGCCGAAGAGGGAGCUGCGGUGAAGGGCGCGGCGGGCCCCUCAGCGCCACAGCCAAGACUCCCAGGUAGCUGUUCAUGGUAGUCCUGCCUCCGAGUGUGGAAUGAGCCCCCAGUGGCAGAGGUGAGCAAGGCCACGGAGGAGCAGCCAUGUGCAAGCACCGUGGACCACACUGACACUGCUCCUGCUACAAGCUAAGGGCUCCAGAAAAGAACAGACCCUCAGGACACAGCUGGGUUGCGCUGAUGGUCAACAGUAACCCGAAAACUUGGCACCUGGGAAGCACUCAAUGAAUGAUGGCUUUGGAGUAAAGCUGCUGGAUCUGUCCAUAGAUCUCCAUCAUCGACUUGCCCAUCAAUCAGUCUACACCUCUCGCCUCCCGUUGUCCCAGGCCGGGAUUAUUACCAAGCCAGCUGUUGUGAACAUCCUCCUGCGUGGGUUUUGCUGAACACAAGCAUUCGUUUCUUACAAGCAUCCACCUCGGAGCUGAUUUGCUGAGUUGUAGAGCGUGCGUGUUUAGCAUUAGUAGGCGCCAACAAGUAUUUGUCCAAGGCAACUCCAUCAGCUCCCUCUGCCAGCACGGUCUGGGAAGCCAGCUGCAGCCCAACGCAGCCAUCCCGCUCCCAGACACCCCGUAAGGAUGCUGGGGCUGGACACAGGCAGGAUGUCUCAGGAUGAGAGAGGCAGCACCCCAAGCUGGAGAUGCAACCUCAGACUUCAACCCCUGCUCUGCAACACGGACCCCUUCCCAGAGCGCCCACCUUCCCGGAGGAGGCGGCAUGCCCAGCCCCUGCCUUGAGGAUGGCCCUCUCCCCUCCCUCGCAGCCCUGGCCACCUUCUGUGGUUUCUUGCAGCUUCUCUCUCCCAGGCCUUCUCCCUGGAAGCUGACCUAGAGCCGGAUUCCCAAAUAAACAGUAACUAAUUGGA
Oryctolagus cuniculus (rabbit) is the source of this 7502-nucleotide non-coding RNA. The record is from RefSeq and is a predicted model, not a curated record. NCBI's taxonomy places the organism in Eukaryota, Metazoa, Chordata, Mammalia, Lagomorpha, Leporidae.